Molecule: ribosomal RNA, 863 nt
Filed under: Bacillus sp. (in: firmicutes)
Lineage: Bacteria; Bacillati; Bacillota; Bacilli; Caryophanales; Bacillaceae
Description: bacterial SSU rRNA
Rfam family: Bacterial small subunit ribosomal RNA
Source: RNAcentral
UUCCUAUACAUGCAAGUCGAGCGGACAGAUGGGAGCUUGCUCCCUGAUGUUAGCGGCGGACGGGUGAGUAACACGUGGGUAACCUGCCUGUAAGACUGGGAUAACUCCGGGAAACCGGGGCUAAUACCGGAUGCUUGAUUGAACCGCAUGGUUCAAUUAUAAAAGGUGGCUUCUGCUAUCACUUACCGAUGGACCCGCGGCGCAUUAACUAGUUGGUGAAGUAACGGCUCACCAAGGGCACCAUGCCUAACCCACCUGAAAGGGUGAUCGGCCACACUGGGACUGAAACACGGCCCAAACUCCUACGGGAGGCAGCAGUAAGGAAUCUUCCGCAAUGGACGAAAGUCUGACGGAACAACGCCCCGUGAGUGAUGAAGGUUUUCCGAUCCUAAAACUCUGUUGUUAAGGAAGAACAAGUACCGUUCGAAUAAGGCGGUACCUUGACGGUACCUAACCAGAAAGCCACGGCUAACUACGUGCCAGCAGCCGCGGUAAUACGUAAGUGGCAAGCGUUGUCCGGAAUUAUUGGGCGUAAAGCGCGCGCAAGCGGUUUCCUAAGUCUGAUGUGAAAGCCCCCGGCUCAACCGGGGAGGGUCAUUGGAAACUGGGGAACUUGAGUGCAAAAAAGAGAGUGGAAUUCCACGUGUACCGGUGAAAUGCGUAAGAUGUGGAGAACACCAGUGGCGAAGCGACUCCUCUGGUCUGUAACUGACGCCUGAAGCGCCGAAAGCGUGGGGAGCGACAGGAUUAAUACCCUGGUAGUCCACGCCGUAAACGAUGAUGCUAGUGUUAGAAGGUUUCCGCCCUUUAUGCUGCAGCAACGCAUAGCACUCCGCCUGGGGAGUACGUCGCAGACUGAACUC